This 516-nucleotide long non-coding RNA is filed under the name Nicotiana benthamiana. Its description in RNAcentral is "long non-coding RNA (NBEN_LNC021594)". Lineage: Eukaryota; Viridiplantae; Streptophyta; Magnoliopsida; Solanales; Solanaceae. The record is from RNAcentral.
UGAGAGUGCAUGAUAUAGUUUCAAAGAAAUUGAGUUGAGAGAAACAGUUUGAAAAUAAUCCAUAUAGAAUCUGUUCUUGAAAGAAAACAGUAGAAGAGUGUGACACUUUUGUAAGAAGGUGAGUUGGACAAUCUCAGAACUAGAAUAUCACGCAUAGUUUAGGAAAGCAAACACAAAUAGGGGAAAGGGGAAAUGGGACAAGUAGUUCACAUGUAAGAGCAUAGUUGCACAUACGUAGACAUCAGAUAAGACAUUUCAAGACUUAAACAGUCAAAACACAUUUCAUCCCAAAAUGUUCAUGGAAGAUGUUCAGGAUUACUUGGUAGCUAUAAAGGGUCAUGAAUACAUGCUGACAAUGUACUGGGGUUAGGGAGUAAGGAAGAACUGCAUUAAACAAGUAAAAGAAGUAGUAGACAUGCUGAAUUAAGGGAAAGGUAAUCACAUCAAUGAAAUAGCAAAAAGGCACACUAAUUGCAAGGUAAACAACAAAACCAAAAAUAGAAGCAUAAAGGAAAU